GGUGGAUGCUUACCUGGUCGUGCGGAAGAGGCUGGUGCUACAACGGCUACAAGCAGCAACAACAGCAGUCCAGAGGGUCUGCUGCCACCACAGAGGGCGAGAGUGUCCAGUACCACAGAAGUUCUUCUUUUCUCUGGAGGAUGACCAGUUUGUCCCUGAAGAAUGUAACCCACUUCACUUGGCAUUACAUCUGUGGUUGCCGGAGGCUGUGCAAAGUGUGGGGACUCAUUAGCUUGUCUGCUUACAGCCGUCUCUGUGGACCGAGACUCUCCAUUCAGCACUCGGCUAAUGAAUUAACACAUUAUGAUGAAAUGUCAGCCAUUACAUGUGAAUGAGGAUUAGAGAAGCAGCAGGACACUAAUGGACCACAGGGCUCAAACUAGUCACUGAGACUUUGAACA
Molecule: long non-coding RNA, 401 nt
Organism: Solea senegalensis (Senegalese sole)
Lineage: Eukaryota; Metazoa; Chordata; Actinopteri; Pleuronectiformes; Soleidae
Exons: 3
Source: RefSeq, a predicted model, not a curated record